GGAUAGAGGCCUACCAUGGUGGUAACGGGUAACGGGGUGUUAGGGCACGACACCGGAGAGGGAGCCUGAGAAACGGCUACCACAUCCAAGGAUGGCAGCAGGCGCGCAAAUUACCCAAUCCCGACACGGGGAGGUAGUGACAAUAAAUAACAAUACGGGAUUCUUUAGGAUCUCGUAAUUGGAAUGAGUACAAUUUAAAUCUCUUAACGAGGAACAAUUGGAGGGCAAGUCUGGUGCCAGCAGCCGCGGUAAUUCCAGCUCCAAUAGCGUAUAUUAAAGUUGUUGCAGUUAAAAAGCUCGUAGUUGAAUUUCGGGGUUAGUAGGUUGGUCAUGCCUCUGGUAUGUACUGAUCUCACUGAUUCCUCCUUCCUUAUGAACCGUAAUGCCAUUAAUUUGGUGUUGCGGGGAAUUUGGACUGUUACUUUGAAAAAAUUAGAGUGUUUAAAGCAGGCUAACGCUUGAAUACAUUAGCAUGGAAUAAUGGAAUAGGACGUUCGAUCUUAUUUUGUUGGUUUCUAGGAUUGACGUAAUGAUUAAUAGGGAUAGUUGGGGGCAUUAGUAUUCAAUUGUCAGAGGUGAAAUUCUUGGAUUUAUUGAAGACUAACUACUGCGAAAGCAUUUGCCAAGGAUGUUUUCAUUAAUCAAGAACGAAAGUUAGGGGAUCGAAGACGAUCAGAUACCGUCGUAGUCUUAACCAUAAACUAUGCCGACUAGGGAUCGGAUGA
RNAcentral lists this ribosomal RNA (725 nucleotides) under uncultured fungus. RNAcentral's name for it is "SSU rRNA". It matches the Rfam family "Eukaryotic small subunit ribosomal RNA", at positions 331 to 1060 of the family's 1831-position model. The record is from RNAcentral. Lineage: Eukaryota; Fungi.